Molecule: ribosomal RNA, 301 nt
Filed under: uncultured bacterium
Lineage: Bacteria
Description: partial 16S ribosomal RNA
Rfam family: Bacterial small subunit ribosomal RNA
Source: RNAcentral
CAGCCGCCACGGUAACACAGAGGGUGCAAGCGUUAAUCGGAAUUACUGGGCGUAAAGCGCGCGUAGGUGGUUUGUUAAGUUGGAUGUGAAAUCCCCGGGCUCAACCUGGGAACUGCAUCCAAAACUGGCAAGCUAGAGUAUGGUAGAGGGUGGUGGAAUUUCCUGUGUAGCGGUGAAAUGCGUAGAUAUAGGAAGGAACACCAGUGGCGAAGGCGACCACCUGGACUGAUACUGACACUGAGGUGCGAAAGCGUGGGGAGCAAACAGGAUUAGAUACCCCUGUAGUCCCUGUCUCUUAUAU